This 17999-nucleotide long non-coding RNA is filed under the name Homo sapiens (human). RNAcentral describes it as "non-protein coding lnc-ODF3L2-1:1". The record is from RNAcentral. Lineage: Eukaryota; Metazoa; Chordata; Mammalia; Primates; Hominidae.
AGAUGCACAGAGGAGCGGGCCGUUAGGAGACAGGCAGAGGUGGGGGCCUCAAGCCCGGGCCCACCAAAGCCUGUGGGAGCCCCCAGAAGCUGGCUGUGAAACCUCACUCCCCCACGUGUGGUCCCCAGGCGCGCUCGGCCUGCGCAGUACAACCGGCUUCUGCCUCCCCAGGACCCGCUUCCGCCUCCCCGGAACCCUCUUCCGCCUCCCCAAGACCCGCUUCCGCCUCCCCAGGACCCGCUUCCGCCUCCCCGGAACCCGCCUCCGCCUCCCCGGGACCCGCUUCCGCCUCCCCGGAACCCACUUCCGCCUCCCCAAGACCCGCUUCCGCCUCCCCGGAACCCGCUUCCCCCUCCCCCGGAACCCACUUCCGCCUCCCCAAGACCGGCUUCCGCCUCCCCGGAACCCGCGUCCGCCUCCCUGGAACCCACUUCCCCGUCCCCCGGAACCCGCUUCCGCCUCCCCAGGACCCGCUUCCACCUCCCCGGAACCCGAAUCCGCCUCCCCAGGACCCGCUUCCGCCUCCCCGGAACCUGCUUCCCCGUCCCCCGGAACAUGCGUCUGCCUCCCCGGAACCCACUUCCGCCUCCCCAAGACCCGCUUCUGCCUCCCCAGGACCCGCUUCCGCCUCCCCGGAACCCGAUUCCGCCUCCCCGGGACCCGCUUCCGCCUCCCCGGAACCCGCUUCUGUCUCCCCGGAACCCGCUUCCGCCUCCCCAAGACCCGCUUCCGCCUCCCCGGGACCCACUUCCGCCUCCCCAAGACCCGCUUCCGCCUCCCCGGAACCCACUUCCCCCUCCGCCGGAACCCGCGUCUGCCUCCCCGGAACCCACUUCCCCGUCCCCCGGAACAUGCGUCUGCCUCCCCGGAACCCGCUUCCGUCUCCCCGGAACCCACUUCCGCCUCCCCAAGACCCGCUUCUGCCUCCCCGGGACCCACUUCCGCCUCCCCAAGACCCGCUUCCGCCUCCCCAAGACCCGCUUCCGCCUCCCCGGAACCUACUUCCGCCUCCCCAAGACCCUCUUCUGCCUCCCCGGGACCGGCUUCCGCCUCCCCAGGACCCGCUUCCGCCUCCCCGGGACCCACUUCCGCCUCCCCCGGGUCUGUGCGGAUGCCAGGCCUGGUUGGGUCUGUUUUCCCUGGUGGCAUCGGGCCGCCCUCGCCGUCUCCCGGCGGUUUGUCCUACAAGUUUAACGCCGACGGCCGGCGUGUUCCACGGAGGACGCGUGCGCUUCCUUCACACCACAUCCAUUGGGACCAGUCAGGUGUGGCCAUUGGCCGUGGAUGUGGGAUUUAGAAUGUUCAGAAUUCAGACGCCAGGGUUGUUGGGGCUCCGGAUGUUGGGGGAUAACUGCUGCUUUCCGUCACUGCAGGAAAUAUUUAGCAUACGCUUCCCCUGCCCGGCACAGAUGAUGAGUAGACAAUGAGAGACCUCGUUCCUGCUCUCAAGGAGCUUGGAUUCCAGUAGGAGAGACAGUCAAUCAGAAGAGGACAAACAGAUGAGGAAAUAGGUUCUGGUAGCGGCUCUGCAGAGCUAAAAUCGUGUGAUAUUAGAGCAGGAGGCUGGGCGGCUGCCCCUCCCAGGAGGCGACCUUGAAGCUGAGACCUGAGCCAUGGAAACCCCGGCCGUGGGGUUUGCAGACAUAGUUCUAGACGGGGCACAGCAGGUGCAGGUGCAAAGGCCUGAUAUGGUGGGUUUGCAGACAGAGAUCUAGGGGGGGUACAGCAGGUGCAGGUGCAAAGGCCUGAUGUGGUGGGGUUUGCAGACAGAGUUCUAGUCGGGGCACAGCAGGUGCAGGUGCAAAGGCCUGAUGUGGUGGGGUUUGCAGACAGAGUUCUAGUCGGGGCACAGCAGGUGCUGGUGCAAAGGCCUGAUGUGGUGGGGUUUGCAGACAGAGUUCUAGUCGGGGCACAGCAGGUGCAGGUGCAAAGGCCUGAUGUGGUGGGGUUUGCAGACAGAGUUCUAGGCGGGGCACAGCAGGUGCAAAGGCCCCACGCGGUGGGUUUACAGACAGAGUUCUAGGCGGGGCACAGCAGCUGCAGGUGCAAAGGCCUGACUGUGGAGUUUACAGACAGAGUUCUAGGGGCGGGGCACAGCAGGUGCAAAGGCCCCACGCAGUGGGUUUACAGACAGAGUUCUAGGCAGGGGCACAGCAGGUGCAAAGGCCCCACGUGGUGGGGAUUGCAGACAGAGUUCCAGGCAGGGGCACAGCAGGUGCAAAGGCCCCACGUGGUGGGGAUUGCAGACAGAGUUCUAGACGGGGCACAGCAGGUGCAGGUGCAAAGGCCUGACGCGGUGGAGUUUGCAGACAGAGUUCUAGGGGGGGCACAGCAGGUGCAAAGGCCCCACGCAGGGAGCGGACCUGGUGCGUGUGCGUCACGGCAAGGAGAGCCAUGAGACUGGAGCUGAUGGAGAGGGAGCGGGACUCUCUCUGUGGGCUGUGGUGAGGAGUGGGGGUGGUUUUAAGUAGGGGGUGGCGCAGAGUGUGCAGUUUUGAAAGCCCUUCCAGGGGCCGUGUGGAAGUGUUGCUGAGGGAGGAGGAGGGUCUGGAAGGGCAGCAGAGACCCGGGAGGAGGCUGCGAGGGACGGCGGUGGCCCAGGCCAGGGGACCUAGGUGAGGGGAGAAGUGGACAAUGAGCCUGUGUUGGAGCCCGGAGGAGUUGCUGAUGGACCAGGGGCCCUGGCCCCCAGGGAGCCUGACCGGCCUCAGCCCCCAGCGCUGUCCCCCAGGAGCCCCGUCUCCCAGCACCUACAUCACAGCAGGCACAGGGACAGCCGGUCCCUCCUGGUCACAGGGAAGCUUGAGUUAAGGAGGGGAAUAGCCAAGCCCCAUCACCCGGGGGCUGCGGCCGGCGGCUCAGGCCCGCAGGGCUCUUCCACACUGGAGGGACCCUGUGCACUGAGGGAAACUGAGGCACAGAGAGGCCGAGCUGUGUCUGAGGUUACGCAGUGAAAAGCAGGACCAGAACCCGGGGCUGAGGGUCCUCCUGCGGGAGCCGGAGAGAACAUUCUGAGGGCACUCGUCACGCACGCACCUGUGUGGGGCACAGCAACGGCCCCGUGUCCACAUCCACCCUCGGAUUCUGUGAAGGUGCCCCUCACACGGCGACAGGGGACCUGCAGGUGGGACCGAGUGAGCAACCCUGAGAUGGGAUGAUUUGGGGGCCCGGUGUCCUCGCAGCAGGGGGUGAGAGUCAGAGAGAGACCGGAAGAGGCUGCGCUGUGGCUGCUAACCGGGAGGAAGGGGCCCCCAGCCAAGGGAUGUGGGCCCCUCAGGACGCUGGGAAAGGCGGAGCAGAUUGGGAACCAACUCUGCCCACACCUUGAUUUUAGACUUCUGAGCUCUAGACAUAAGCGGAUUAGCUCGCGUUGUUUGGAGCCACUCAAUUUGUGGUGAUUGGUGAUAGCAGCAAGAGGGAGUGGAUGGGCCGGGCGACUCAGCCGGCAUCGCAGAACCCCCCAGAAUCCUGCAGCGAUCCCGGUGUGUGGGAGAGAAGUUGGACGCCGGAUAAUCAGCGGCGUGGGCCCCGCGUCCGAGCGCCGUGGGCAGCAUCGGUGCAAAUGCAGUACCUCCGGCGCCGAGGCUCACGCCGAGUCCUGCGCGGUGCUGAGUUCCGAGGAGCCCUGGGUUCCAUUCUCCCCACAACCCUGCGGCUUCCACCCAUUUUAUAGAUGAGGCAGCUGAGGCACAGCAGGUCAAAGAGCUGCCCGAGAGCCCUUCCCUGGGUCAUGGCACUCGCGAUGCCUUUAGGGCUGUCACCACAGACCUGACUCGGAGCUGCUGGGCGCCAAAGGGACCUUGAUUGUCUCCUGCGAGAAGAACCCGGGGUCGGCGGCUCUGGGGUUGGUUAAUUCAGCAGCUCAGUGACUUUGUCAUGGGUCCAGGUCAUUGUUAUUUCACCGAAAUUCAUGCCAACCUGGAACCCCAAAAUGAGGCCUUCUGUGGAACAGGCUCUCUGCAGGUGUCAUUAAACAAGGUCACGUUGGAUUCAGGUCACCCUGACCCGGUGACUGCCGUCUUUAUGAGAAGCUGAGUGAGGGCACAGAGAGAAGGACGCGGGACAGGAUGAGAGGGGCAGAGACGAGCGAUGCGGCCACGGGCCAAGGAUGUCAGGGAGCCCCGGCCACCACCAGCACUGGGAGAGGCAGGACGGGCCUUCCCCUGCUGCCUCCAGAGGGGACGGGCUUCCGGCCCUCAGGCCUGUGUGAGGAAGCAUUUCUAUGGUCUUUUUUUUUUUUUGAGACAGAGUUUCCCUCUUGUUGCUGAGGCUGGAGUGCCGUGGCGCGAUCUCGGCUCACCGCAACCUCCGCCUCCCGGGUUCAAGCGAUUCUCCUGCCUCAGCCUCCUGAGUAGCUGGGACUACAGGCGCCCGCCACCAUGCUCAGCUAAUUUUGUUUGUAUUUUCAGUAGAGAUGGGGUUUCACCCUGUUGGCCAGGCUGGUCUUGAACUCCUGACCUCAGGUGAUCCGCCCGCCUGCGCCUCCCAAAGUGCUGGGAUGACAGGUGUGCGCCGUCGCGUCCGGCCCAUUUCUGUUGUCUUAAGCCCCGUUUGUGGGGAUCUGUUAGGGCAGCCACGGGAGACCGACCGCCUUCCCGGGGCCUCUGCUGGGUCAGUUCCUCCCCUGGCUGAAAGGCAGUGGCUCUGGUUUGGCAGAACAGGGUCCCCUGUCUCUGUGGGGCUCCUUUUGUGAAUGGGGACAUUUUUCCUGAGAAUCCCCCGCCGACUUUGCCGUGGGUCUCAUGAGCCCAGCCCGGCACUGCCCAGCAGAACCGUCCGUGUCUGCACCGUCCAGUGUGGCUGCCGUGAGUCACAUGGGCGGCUGGGCCUCGAGGUGUGGCCUGUGCUGUUGCAGUGCCAGCUUCAUUUUACCUGACUUUUCUCAAGUGGUCACAGGCAGCAAGCAGCUGCCGUGCUGGACAGCUCGGUCUGGGUGAAUCUUGACGCCUGAUCUUUGGGCUUCACCCGAAGGCGUAGAUCUGAGCAAGAUGUCUCUGUUGAGAAAGACACAGAGCUUGUCUCCUGGAGAGGCCAGAGUUCGUGCCAAGGUCUGUGGACACCGACCCCGUGUUCUCCCACACGUACCAUUUUGGCGCUGGGCUCGUCCAUACACAGAAGUCCCGUGAGUCAGGCCGUCCUGCUCUCUGCGGUGCCCUCACGCACCUCACCUCGUGAGCACUUCAGGGAGAGUUUCCUGUGCGUGUCUGGCUCUGCUCCAGGUGCGUGGAGCCCAGGCCCGGUGGGGGAUGGACGCAAACUGGGACACGGUCGGCAAAAUGACACUUCAUCCUUCCUGCAUCGCGGGUCCCUUAAGCUGGGAGGUGCGGGGAGUUGUGAGAGGGUGCUGGAGAUGGUUCAGCUCCAAAUGCAGCUUUUCCUUGAAGGCGAGGGGUCAGGUGUGGCCAGUUGACACGGUGGAUGAAUCCCAUGGCUCGACAGCAUCCCUAAAGAUCUGGGUUCUGGCCGGGCGUGGUGGCUCACGCCUGUAAUCCAGCAUUUUGGAAGACCAAGGCGGCAGGAUCACUUGAGCCCAGGAGUUUGAGACCAGCCUGGGCAGCUUGGUGAAACCCUGUCUCUACCAAAAAAGAAAAAACAUUAGCCAGGCAGGGUGGUGCACACCUGUGGUCCCGGCUAUGUGGGAGACUGAGGCAGGAGGAGCACGUGAGCCUGAGAAUUCGAGGCCGCAGUGAGCCAAGAUCAUGCCACUGCCCUCCAGCCUGGGUGACAGAGCAAGACCCUGCCUCAGAAACAAAACUCAGGUUUUGUUUCUGAGAACAAAGAACCCAUAUCUGGGUUCUUUCUGUCCUUCUCCCAUCCAAGUACCAAUCAGGCCCGACCCUGCUCAGCUUCCAAGGCCAGACAACAUUGGGCUGUUUUCAGGACGGUGUGACCACAGUCUCUCCCAUCUUUCUGUGCCGCCGUCCUCUGCACGCUGGCUUGGCGACCUUCAGGGUCACAAAAUGGUGGCCACAGCACCCGACGUCGCUGGGACCCGGCCACGUCCACUGGGAGCAGAGGUCAUCCCUUCCUGGAGCUCUUUGUGAGAGACUCCGGCCGUUCUCCCUCCUCCAUUGGCUGGAAAUGGCAAACCCUUCACUUGUGGAAGGGAACGGGGCCACCAAACUGGCUUAAAGACCAGCGGCAUCUGGGAACCUGUUGCAAAUGCUGAUUCUCGAGCCCCACCCCAGACCUGCUGGGUCAGAGACUCUGGGGGGCUUGGAGAGCUGCGUUUUGUGAGUCCUCCAGGUGAUUCUGAGUCACACUCAGGUCUGAGAUCCACCAGCUGCAGCUGCGUGUGGCCGUCCUGCCGAUCAACUACCACUAUUUAUAGCAAGCAUUCUGUGAUCCUUCACUCCUGAAAUGAAACCCAAGUGUACCUGUAACACCCACCUACGCAGGAACUCCAAGUCAGUACGAUGCCCCAACCGCAGUGAAACGGAGAAACGCACACCUACGCAGGAAUUCCCCCCAAGUCAGUACGAUGCCCCAACCUCAAUGAAACGGAGAAACGCACACCUACGCAGGAACUCCCCCCAAGUCAGUACGAUGCCCCAACCUCAAUGAAAUGGAGAAACGCACACCUAUGCAGGAAUUCCCCCCAAGUCAGUACGAUGCCCCAACCUCAAUGAAACGGAGAAACGCACACCUACGCAGGAAUUCCCCCCAAGUCAGUACGAUGCCCCAACCUCAAUGAAACGGAGAAACGCACACCUACGCAGGAACUCCCCCCAAGUCAGUACGAUGCCCCAACCUCAAUGAAACGGAGAAACGCACACCUACGCAGGAACUCCCCCCAAGUCAGUACGAUGCCCCAACCUCAAUGAAAUGGAGAAACGCACACCUACGCAGGAAUUCCCCCCAAGUCAGUACGAUGCCCCAACCGCAGUGAAACGGAGAAACGCAAUGGUGGUGAUUCCUAGUAACUCAAAAUAUGUUUCAGCCUGUAAAUGUGCAGGGUCCACUCUCCGGGAAGCACAGAGGCCGCCACAAAGGCCACCAUUCCUGUGACAGCCACAGACGGGGCAGAUGCAGGCUGCCAUUCUGCAGCUCCGACACCACGGCUGGAGUCACACGGACGAUUUGGCUUCUAAAAUAGUGAACAACUAUUUUAGUCCAACUUGUAUAAAAACGAUGCUGCCAGGCACGGAGGCUCAUUCCUAUAAUCCCAGCACUUUGGGAGGCAGAGGCGGGCUGAUCACCUGAGGUCAGGAGUUCGACACCAGCCUGUCAACAUGGUGAAACCCCGUCUCUACUAAAAAUACAAAAAUUGGCUGGGUGUGAUGGCGGGCAACUGUAAUCCCAGCUACUCGGGAGGCUGAGGCAGGAGAAUCGCUUGAACCCAAGAGGUGGAGGUUGCAGUGAGCCGAGAUCACGCCACUGCACUCCAGCCUGGGCGACAGAGUGAGACUAUGUCUCAAAACAAACAAAAAAUGCCAAAAAGUUAAAGAGAAUUACCUUAUGAUCCACCAAUUUCACUUCUUGGAUAUAUACCUCCCAGAAAUGGAGAGCAGGGACUUGAGGGGAUGUUUGUACACUCACGGCCACAGCAGCAUAACUCCCAGCAGCCCAAAGGUGGAAACAGUCCAGGUGUCUGUUGAUGGAUGAGUGGAUCAACACAGCAUGGCCAUCCACAUGCUGAAAUACGACGUGGCCCACGGCGUGGCCAUCCACACGCUGAAAUACGGCACAGCCACGGCGUGGCCAUCCACACGCUGAAAUAUGAUGUGGCCACAGCGUGGCCAUCCACAUGCUGAAAUACAGCACAGCCACGGCGUGGCCAUCCACACACUGAAAUAUGACGUGGCCACGGCGUGGCCAUCCACACGCUGAAAUAUGACGUGGCUAUGGUAUGGCCAUCCACACGCUGAAAUACAGCACAGCCAUGGCGUGGCCAUCCACACACUGAAAUAUGAUGUGGCUAUGGUAUGGCCAUCCACACGCUAAAAUACGACGUGGCCACGGCGUGGCCAUCCACACGCUGAAAUAUGAUGUGGCCACGGCGUGGCCAUCCACACGCUGAAAUACGGCACAGCCAUGGCGUGGCCAUCCACACACUGAAAUAUGACGUGGCUAUGGUAUGGCCAUCCACACGCUGAAAUAUGACAUGGCCACGGCAUGGCCAUCCACACGCUGAAAUAUGAUGUGGCCACGGCGUGGCCAUCCACACGCUGAAAUACGGCACAGCCAUGGCGUGGCCAUCCACACACUGAAAUAUGACGUGGCCACGGCGUGGCCAUCCACAUGCUGAAAUAUGACAAUAUGAUGCGGCCAAGGAAAGAAACGAGGCUGUGACCCAGGCAUGAGUGGAUCAACACAGUGUGGCCAUCCACACGCUGAAAUACGACGCGGCCAAGAAAAGGAACGAGGCUCUGACCCAGGCCACGGCACGGACGGACCUUGAGGAUGUCUCACUCGGUGAGAGACUCCAGACACAGAAGGACAAGCUUUGUGCAAUUCCACCCAUCAGAGGUCCCCAGAGCCAUCAGAUUCACAGAGACAGAAAGUAGGAUGGGGCUGGGGAGGGGACGGGGAGUAAGUGUUUUGUGGGGUCAGUUUGAGUUUGGGAAGAUGAGGACGUUCUGGAGAGACGGUGGUGGUGGCUGCACAGCCACGGGAAUGCGCUGAGUGCCACUGAACCGUGCGAUUAAAGACAGUCAAAACUCUAAAUUUUAUGUUAUGUGUGUUUUACCACAAUAAAAAAGCAAGCACACGAAAACGCGCCACUCUCUUGCGUCAUGGGCCACGUGGAGUUAGGUUGGAGGCGUGUGGCAGUCAUGGAAGGCUUUCCCCACAAGAUGCCUGGAGGAAGCUCCGAGGCCCUGGGGACAGUUCGGUGUCAUUGUGAGUCCCCCCCCUCCUGUAGCGCCGGCUGCCCAGCCUCGCGAUGAUGGCCAACAGGGCCCCACAUUUCCGCGGCACCCCCAGGGCAGCACACACCCCUCGCCCCUGUGGAAAGCCAUGGCCAGGGGCACUGACGGGGGCUGUGGCCAGUGGGAGGGGCGUCCUCCUGGCCAGGGGUGGAGGGCGGCACUGGUCAGCGUGGCGCAGGGUGUCAAAGAAAUUUGCCUUUAAAUAGUUUCAACCUUAGAUCAAAGAAACAAGAACAGUAGACUACGUAGAGCUUUUGUAAGUUUGGAAUUCUAUUGAGACGAAAAGUUCCAAAGAAGACUAGUACAAAGAGUUCCCAUGUGUCAUUCACCUAGACUGGCCGAUUAUUAACAUCUUGCCUCAUUUAUUCUGUCUGUAUAAAUUAUUAUUAUUAUCAUUAUUGAGACACGGUUUUGCUCUCGUUGCCCAGGCUGGAGUGCAAUGGCGCAAUCUCGGCUCAUUGCAACCUCCGCCUCCCGGGUUCAAGCGAUUCUCCUACCUUAGGCUCCCACUGUAUAAAUUAUUAUUAUUACUGUCGUUAUUAUUGAUGAACAAUUGAGAAAGUCUGCAGCCGUGAUACCCCUCUACCCUCAAACACGCUAGGGUAUAUAGUCUAAGGACAAGGAUUUUCUCCAGCAUAGCUAUGGUAUGAUUAACAAAGUCAGGAAAUGUACCGUUACAAUCCUGCGAUCACAUUUUCAGUGCGUAUUCAAAUGUGACCAGUUUUCCCAACGGUGUCAGAGCAACCUUUAUUUUCCCAUCCCACAUUGCAUUUAGCCAUCCUGCCUUUUUUUUUCUUUUUUUGAGACAGGAUCUCGCUCUGGAUCAUCCAGGCUGGAGUGCAAUGGUGCCAUCUCAGCUCACUGCAACCUCCGCCUCCUGGGUUCAAGCGAUCCUUGCACCUCAGCCUCUUGCUGAGACCUCCCAGGCUGCUGGGACCACAGCUGUGUGCCACCACGCCCAGCUAAUUUUUAUUUUAUUUAUUUUAAUUUUUUAGAGACAGAGUCUGGCUCUGUCGCCCAGGCUGGAGUGCAGUGGCACCAUCUCGGCUCACGGCAACCUCCACCUCCUGCGUUCAAGCGAUUCUCCUGCCUCAGCCUCCCGAGUAGCUGGGACUACAGGUGUGCACCACCAUGCCUGGCUACUUUUUGUAUUUUUGUAUUUUUUUUUUUUUGUAGAGACGGGGUUUCACCAUGUUGCCCAGGCUGGUCUUGAACUCCUGAACUCAAGCCGUCUGUCUGCCUCGGCCUCCCACAGUGCUGGGAUUAGAGGCGUGAGCCACUUGCCCCGUCCGUCCUGUCUCUUUUACCACCUUUAGCCUCACAGUUGUUCCGUCCUGGGAUCCAUGGAGCCAGUAGUGUUGAAGAGUGCACACCGGCUGCUGGGCUGCCGUCCCUCAGUUUGUGUCUGCCUGGUGUUUGCCUGCAGUUGAGUCGAGGUUGUGUUUUUGGCAGGACGCACAGAGGGGUGCUGUGUUUUCCCAGCCCUUCGUGUCAGGAGGCCCCCGGGUGCUGGUUUGUCCUGAUACUGGUGCUGGAGACUUUGAUCACCUAGUGUCCUGGGGCGAACGGUGUUCCCCAAAACUCACGUCCUUAUUUGGAAAAGGUCCUUUGCAGACGUGGUUAGUUAAGAUGAGGCCACACUGGAGUUACUGAAAUAGGGUGGGGCCUAAAUGCAAUGGCUCGUGUCCUCUAAGAAGAGGGAAAUCUGCACAGAAGGAGACAGCUGUGUGGAGGAGGCAGAGAUGGAGUAACACGGCCACAAGCCCGGGACGCCGGGAGCCCCCAGAAGCUGGAAGAGGCAGGAAGGACCCUCCCCCGGGGCUUCAGAGGGAGCGAGGCCCUGCCCGCAGCUUGACCUCAGACUCCCGGCUCUGGGACGUGGAGAGGAUCCGCUCCCGUGGCCCCCAGGUGUGGCCUUUGCUCACGGCAGCCCUGGGAAAUGAAUGUACUUGGUGAAGGUGACUUUUCUCCCCCGUAAAGCUCUGUUUAUUUCCCUUAUAAUGAGGAAGAUCUGCGGGGACUCGUGGAAUUGGGACUCGGGUGCAUGGGGACGUCGCAGUGCACGCCCCGGGAGCCACUCGCAGGCCAGGCCGUGCACGUUUCCAGCCCAAGCGCUGCCUGCGGCCUCCCCAGCCCUGGCCCCGGCAUCCGGUCUUCCUUCCCUGGAACGUGAUCUGGGGAGACAGAUGUUGACACUGUGCAGACAUCCUGGCUCCCAGCUCCCAGCAAACCUUCACGCACUGGUUUUAGCAAAACCUUAGGGUUCUUGUGUGAAUGGACACUUUUCAUUUUAUUAAUAUAUUUAUUUUAAUGGAAAACCAGGGAGUUAUGGUUGCAGUGUGAAGUUUCCUCUUUUUCUCAUAUAAUUUUUUAAUUUUUUUUUUAGAUGGAGUUUUGUUCUUGUCACCCAGGCUGGAGUGCAGUGGUGCGAUCUCGGCUCACCGCAACCUCCGCUUCCCAGGUUCAAGUGAUUCUCCUGCCUCAGCCUCCCGAGUAGCUGGGAUUACAGGCAUAAGCCAACAUGCCCAGCUAAUCUUGUAUUUUUAGUAGAGACGGGGUUUCACCAUGUUGGUCAGGCUAGUCCUGAGCUCCUGACCUCAGGUGAGCCGCCCGCCUCGGCCUCCCAAAGUGCUGGGAUUGCAGGCCUGAGCCAUUGUGCCCGGCUCUCAUGCAAAUUUUUGAAAAAGCAGAUAUAAUUCGCAUACCCUAAUCCCAACUGUUUAAACUGUGCAGGGCGGUGUAUUUAGUGCAGCCACACGGUUCUGCAACCCUCACCCGUGUCUAGUUCCAGGACGCUCCCGUCAGGCAAAAUGGAAACUUAUCGCCUGCCCUCAGCCGUCCCUCCCCUCCACCCCCUCCCCAUCCCCGGCGCCCACGCGUCCCCUUCCUGCCUCUGUGGAUCGGCCUGUCUUGGCCACUUCAUAGAAAUGGGAUCACACGCUGUGUGGCCUUUCCUGUCCGGCGUCCUCACGGUGCGUCCGUGCCAUGGCCCGUAUCGGAGACUUGCUCCUUUUCACGUCUGGGUCACGUUCCAGAGUGCGGAUGGACCCCACUGCAUUUAUCAGUUCAUCCGUUGAUAGAUAUUUUAGUUGUUUCCUGCAAUUUCCUUUAAAAAGUAAACGCAAUUAUGUUUGUAAGUGGAGUUUAUUUAGAAGGAAAAUACCAAGUAAAUGACAUCGAUACAGACCAUGGCAAAGCCUAUGAGGUGGGUCCCGGUGGCUGGCGUGGGCGGUGGCGGAGACUCGGACGGUCUCCCAGGCUGGGAGUGCAGACAUGGGGACCUCGGCUUGUAUCUGCCCUGGCCUGCUGCGUGCGUGAGGCCGGCCAGGUGCCAUCCCCUCUCUGGGCUUCGGUUUACUGACUUGUACAGUGGCUCCUUCCCUUAACGUCCUGGGGUGGGUUCUGGGUCAUGCCUUCUCUCUGGGCCUCAGUUUCUGAAUUUGCAAAGGGGAAGGUUGAAUGUGAAGCCGCCAGGGCUCCUCCCCAUCUUCUGUGGGAGGGUCCCGGGGCUGCCACCACAAACCACCACAAACUGUGGGGCUUAAAACAACACAGACAGCCGGGCGCGGUGACUCACGCCUGUAGUCCCAGCACUUUGGGAGACCGAGGCGGAUCACAAGGUCAAGAGAUCGAGACCAGCGAGGCCAAUAUGAUGAAACCCCGUCUCUACUAAAAAUACAAAAAUUAGCCGGGCGUGGUAGUGGGCGCCUGUAAUCCCAGCUACUCAGGAGGCUGAGACAGGAGAAUGGUGUGAACCCGGGAGGCGGAAGUUGCAGUGAGUCGUGAUCGCACCACCGCACUCCAGCCUGGCGACAGAGCAAGACUCCGUCUCAAACAAACAAACAAAAACCCCAAAAACAAAACAAAACACACACACACACAAACAUAGACUUGUUCUGUCACAGUUCUGGGGCCCAACGUCCGAGCCAAGGUGUGGGCAGGGCUGGUUUCUGCUGGAGGCUCUGAGGGAGGCUCUGUCCCAGGCCUCUCUCCCGUGUCUGGUGCCUGGGGGCCGGCCUUGGUGUCCUCGGCUGCACACGGCCCCUCCCUUCUGUGUCUCUGUCUCUCAAAUCUCCCUCUGUGCUUGUCUUUUUUUUUUUUUAUUUUGAGACAGACUCUCCCUCUGUCACCCAGGCUCGAGUGCAGUGGCGUGAUCUUGGCUCUCUGCAGCCUCCGCCUCCUGGGUUCAAAUGAUUCUCCUGCCUCAGCCUCCCAAGUAGCUGGGAUUACAGGCAUGCAACCACCACGCCCAGCUAAUUUUUUUAUUUUUAUUUUUAUUUUUGUAUUUUCAGUAGAGUUGGGGUUUCUCCAUGUUGGCCAGGCUAGUCUCAAACUCCUGACCUCAAGUGAUCCACUCACCUCGGCCUCCCAAAGUGCUGGGAUUACAGGCGUGAGCCACCGCGCCCGGCAAAAAUGUGUUUUUUAAGACAUGGUUGUGCUCUGUUGCCCAGGCUGGAGUGCCGUGGUGCCAUCACAGAUCACUGCAGCCUCAACCUCCUGGGCUCAAGCCAUCCUCCCACCUCAGCCUCCUGAGUAGCUGGGACCACAGGCCCACACUCACCAUGCUCAGCUAAUUAAAAAUUUUUCUUUUGUAGAGAUGAGGCCUCAUUACAUUGCCCAGGCUGGUCUUGAACUCCUGGCUUCGAGACAGCCUCCCACCUAGGUCUCCUGAAGUGCUGCGAUUACAGGCAUGAGCUGCUGUGCCAGGCCUAGAAAUUUAUUUCUCACGGUUCUGGAGGCUGGGAGGGCCACGAUCGAGGCGCCGGAAGAUUCAGUGUCUGGCGAGGGCCUCUUUACAGAGGGCCGUGUUCUCCUGUGUCCUCACGUGGUGGAGGGCUGGGCUCUGUCUGGGGUCUCUUUUAUAAGGGCACUGAUCCCAGUCCUGAGGGUGGAGCCCUCAUAGCCUCCUCACCUCCCAAAGGCCCACCUUUAAAUACCCUCACAGUGGGGCAUAGGUUUCCACAGAGGGAUUUUGAGGGGGGCACAGAUAUUCAGCCCUAGAUCGAUAUUUACAAACUGGGAGAAUUUCACAGAAAAGCCCUGAAUUUCUGGUCUCUUUUUUAAAAAAGCACAUGGCCGGCAGCACUGGGCGCCGUGGAGCGUGGGACAUGCAGUGAGCUGAGGUCCCCGCCUCUUCCCGUCGUGCAGGGGGAGCAGUGCAGAUCCUGGAGCCCAGGGGUGUGGGUUCAGGACCCAGCUCUGCGGGCCGUGUGGCCCAGGAGGUCAGUCACCCUCCCACCCGGGCCUGUUUCCCGAGGGGCCAUUGCUGCCCAUGGCAUGUGGAUUUGCGUGGAGUGGAUUAACAGACCACGUGCACAGUGUGUCCACAGCAGAGCCUCACACGUGACAAGCGCCCUGAGUUAGCGAGGUGUUGGUAUCAUUACCGGAUCUGCGUGCAGUGGAUUAAAGGAUGCUGUGCACAGCGUGUCCGCAGCAGAGACUUACACGUGACAAGCGCCCUGAGUUAGCGAGGUGUCGGUAUCGUUACUGCAUUGCAUCCUACCUCGUGUGUUUACCUGGCUGAUCCUGAAGGCUGUAGGCAUCUGAGUUUGCAGUCCCUGUUCUCAACCGAAUAGGAUAUUGCAUUUCCUCUCGUGAGCUGCCGUGGGCCACAGAGGGUUUGCCCCCCACCUCCCCCGUGCACUAGGCUGGUGUCCCCACAACGGGACCCAUGGACCACACAGUUCAGGGUUUCAGCCGCACAACCGGAGUGGGCUACGUGUUAAUAAGGGGGCAGGUAAGGGAAUGAGAAUCCCUCACCCUAUGGCCCUGUAGCGCCAGACACUGGCACAGACAUCAUCCCAGAGGCACAUGCUCUGCCUGAGAGAAGACAGCCAUUGAGCAGCCAGCAUCCCACCAAAGCUGCCUCCUCAGUGGGAGAAUCCAGUGCUAGGGACAGGGACCAUGGCUAAUUCCUUUAGGUAUGACCUGUCUACUACAUGCCUAGAGUCCAUUCAUCUGUUCAUCCAUUCAUCCAUCUACUCAUCCACCCACCCAUCCAUCCAUCCAUUCAUCCACCCACCAAUCCACCCAUCUGUCCACCCAUCCAACCAUCCACCUGUCCAUCCAUCCACCCUCCAUCCAUCCACCCAUCCACCCACCCAUCCAUCCAUCCGUCCAUCCACCCAUCCACCUACACAUCCAUCCACCCAUCCAUCCAUCUGUCCAUCCAUCCAACCAUCCGUCCAUCCAUCCACCCUCCAUCCACCCACCCAUCCAUUCACCCGUCCAUCCAUCCAUCCAUCCACCCACCCAUCCAUCCAUCCACCCACCCAUCCACCUACACAUCCAUCCACCCAUCCAUCCGUCCAUCCAUCCACCCAUGCACUCAUCCACCCACCCAUCCAUCCACCUAUUCAUCCACCCACCCAUCCAUCCAUCCAUCCACCCAUCUGUCCACCCAUCCAACCAUCCGUCCAUCCAUCCACCCACCCAUCCACUCACCCGUCCAUCCAUCCAUUCAUCCACCCACCCAUCCAUCCAUCCAUUCAUCCACCCAUCUGUCCACCCAUCCAACCAUCCAUCUGUCCAUCCAUCCACCCACCCAUCCACUCACCCGUCCAUCCAUCCAUUCAUCCACCCACCCGUCCAUCCACCCAUCCACCUACACAUCCAUCCACCCAUCCAUCCAUCUGUCCAUCCAUCCACCCAUCCACUCAUCCACCCACCCAUCCAUCCAUCCAUUCAUCCACCCAUCUGUCCACCCAUCCAACCAUCCAUCUGUCCAUCCAUCCACCCACCCAUCCACUCACCCGUCCAUCCAUCCAUUCAUCCACCCACCCAUCCAUCCAUCCGUCCAUCCACCCAUCCACCUACACAUCCAUCCACCCAUCCAUCCAUCCACCCAUCCACUCAUCCACCCACCCAUCCAUGCACCUAUUCAUCCACCCACCCAUCCAUCCAUCUGUCCACCCAUCCAACUAUCCAUCUGUCCAUCCAUUCACCCAUCCACUCAUCUACCCACCCAUCCACCCAUGCACUCAUCUACCCACCCAUCCAUCCAUCCAUUCAUCCACCCACCCAUCUACCCAUCUGUCCACCCAUCCAACCACCCAUCUGUCCAUCCAUCCACCCUCCAUCCAUCCACCCACCCAUCCACUCAUCCACCCACCCGUCCAUCCAUCCAUUCAUCCACCCACCCACCCAUUCAUCCAUCCAUCCACCCACCCAUGCAUCCAUCCAUCCACCCAUCCACCCACCCGUCCAUCCAUCCAUUCACCCACCCAUCCAUCCACCCAUCCACCCACCCGUCCAUCCAUCCAUUCAUCCACCCACCCAUCCACUCAUCUAUCCACCCACCCAUCCAUCCGUCCACCCGUCCACCCAUCCACCCACCCAUCCACCCAUCCACUCAUCCACCCACCCAUCCAUCCACCCAUCCAUCCAUCCAUCCACCCAUCCACUCAUCCACCCACCCACCCACCCGUCCAUCCACCCACCCAUCCAUCCAGCCAUCCGUCCACCCGUCCACCCACCCAUCCACCCAUCCACUCAUCCACCCACCCAUCCAUCCACCCAUCCAUCCAUCCACCCAUUCACUCAUCCACCCACCCACCCACCCGUCCAUCCACCCACCCAUCCAUCCAGCCAUCCGUCCACCCACCCACCCAUCCACCCACCCACCCAUCCAUCCACCCACCCAUCCAUCCAUCCAUCCGUCCAUCCAUCCAUCCACCCAUCCACCCACCCAUCCACCCACCCAUUCAUCCAUCCAUCCAUCCACCCGCCCAUCCAUCCAUCUGUCCAUCCAUCCAUCCACCCAUCCACUCAUCUACUCAUCUACCCACCCACCCAUCCAUCCAUCCUUCCACCCUCCAUCCAUCCACCCACCCAUCCAUUCAUUGUCCAUCUGCCUGUCCAUCCAUCUACCCAUCCAUCCAUCAUCCACUCACCCAUCAUCCAUCCGUUCACCCACUCACCCACCCAUCUAUUCAUCUUCCAUCCAUUCUUUCAUUCAUCCAUCCACCUGCCAUCUUUCUGUCAGUCCAUCCACCCAUCAUGCAUCCAUUCAACAGGAGGUGAGGCUGCUUAGUCCAUGCCCUGCUUAAGUGCUCCCUGGCUCCCCAGCUGGCCCAGGAUGAGCCCCUGCCCGUCAUCACAGCCCAGGUCCUGUGGCCUCUGCUUCCUGCCUGCAUUCUCACAUCUGUCUCUGCUCCUUGCUCUCCCUGCUCCAGGUACAUGGAGCCGUGGAGAGGGGCAGAGCCUGGGCCGGCCCACACAGUGACCUGUACACACCUCAGAAGCCCUCAGGCUGAUGUAUCUGUGGGGUAAAGUCCUAAAAAUGGAGCUGCAGGGUCAAAGUGUUUGCGUGUUGAUCAUUUAAAGAAACUGAGGUGGACUUCACAUAACGUUAUUCAUCAUUUUGCAUGUUGCAUUUUUCACAGUUCAGUAGCAUUUCGUACAUUCAUAAUAUCGUGCCACCACCCCUUCUGUCUAAUUCCAGAAUUUCUCAUGACCCCAGUAGGAAACCUGUUCGUGUCAGCCUUCAUUCCCCGGCUCCUGGCACCCACACAUGCUCUUGCUGCCUCUGUAGGACAUUUCAUAGAGAUGACGUGGGCUGUGCCCCUUACCCUCCCUCCAGCAAGGGCCAACGUUGGAAGGACGCUGUGGCCUUCGCCUCCUGGCCCUGUUCCCCCACCCUUUACGGCACUGAAGCAGGUCAGGGACUCGGUGGGACGCCUCUGCCCCUCUCGUCCCUCAGUAUUAUCAGUCAUUGAGAUGGUGAAUUCCCUUUUCAUGGAAACAGCUGUCUGGGCCAGAAGCCCGCAAACUUCCUGUGGAGGGCGAGGCCAGCAGUGUGUGCAUCUGUGGCUGCCCUGGACGUCUGCCCCACUGUUUGCCAGACCCUGAACUGGGCGCUGGAGAUAGGGAAGUGCUCAGGAUCGCACCAUCCCCACGCUCCUCGGCUUCGGUGCUGGUGGAACAGAAAGAGACCGACGAGGGCAAGACGGUUAAAUGAACAAGCAGCAUAGAGCGUCUGGGGGAACCACCAGGCUCCUGAGAAACAGCAACACAGAAAAACAUGCCUGGAGUCAGAGGGGGCGGCUCGCAGGACAGUGUCAAGGCUGGGCCUUGAGGUGGGGGAGGCACGACGGCCCCAGAGCCACCAGGGACAGAGGAAAGGGCUCG